GGAAGGUAUGACACGUACUGC
This 21-nucleotide non-coding RNA is filed under the name Arabidopsis thaliana (thale cress). Lineage: Eukaryota; Viridiplantae; Streptophyta; Magnoliopsida; Brassicales; Brassicaceae. The record is from RNAcentral.